RNAcentral lists this unclassified non-coding RNA (160 nucleotides) under uncultured Ascomycota. RNAcentral's name for it is "sequence contains ITS2". Lineage: Eukaryota; Fungi; Ascomycota. The record is from RNAcentral.
GGUCUCUCAAGCGCAAGCUUGGUGUUGGGGCUCGCCGCGAAAGCGGUGGCCCUCGAAAUCAUCGGCGGUGCCGUGCGGCCUGGAACGCAGCAGAAGAUGCUUUCCAUCCGUAUCGACGCCCGCCGGAUCAAACGUCCUCGCGGACACUUUUUAUCACAAA